Molecule: ribosomal RNA, 165 nt
Filed under: uncultured bacterium
Lineage: Bacteria
Description: partial 16S rRNA
Rfam family: Bacterial small subunit ribosomal RNA
Source: RNAcentral
UAGGGAAUCUUCCACAAUGGACGCAAGUCUGAUGGAGCAACGCCGCGUGAGUGAAGAAGGUCUUCGGAUACGUAAAACUCUGUUGUUAGAGAAGAACACGAGUGAGAGUAACUGUUCAUUCGAUGACGGUAUCUAACCAGCAAGUCACGGCUAACUACGUACCAG